This 365-nucleotide ribosomal RNA is filed under the name Escherichia coli. RNAcentral's name for it is "bacterial SSU rRNA". It matches the Rfam family "Bacterial small subunit ribosomal RNA", at positions 89 to 457 of the family's 1533-position model. The record is from RNAcentral. Lineage: Bacteria; Pseudomonadati; Pseudomonadota; Gammaproteobacteria; Enterobacterales; Enterobacteriaceae.
UGACGAGUGGCGGACGGGUGAGUAAUGUCUGGGAAACUGCCUGAUGGAGGGGGAUAACUACUGGAAACGGUAGCUAAUACCGCAUAACGUCGCAAGACCAAAGAGGGGGACCUUCGGGCCUCUUGCCAUCGGAUGUGCCCAGAUGGGAUUAGCUUGUUGGUGGGGUAACGGCUCACCAAGGCGACGAUCCCUAGCUGGUCUGAGAGGAUGACCAGCCACACUGGAACUGAGACACGGUCCAGACUCCUACGGGAGGCAGCAGUGGGGAAUAUUGCACAAUGGGCGCAAGCCUGAUGCAGCCAUGCCGCGUGUAUGAAGAAGGCCUUCGGGUUGUAAAGUACUUUCAGCGGGGAGGAAGGGAGUAA